Molecule: non-coding RNA, 91 nt
Organism: Earliella scabrosa
Lineage: Eukaryota; Fungi; Basidiomycota; Agaricomycetes; Polyporales; Polyporaceae
Source: the annotation of a GenBank genome assembly
GGCGCUAUAGUGUAGUGGUUAUCACUUGGGAUUCUGAUGUGGUGUUCCAAAAAGUGUUCCCAAAACCCAGGUUCGAGCCCUGGUAGCGCCU